UUUUUUUUUUUUGUCUUUUUGCCAUUUCUUGGGCUGCUCCCGGCAUAUGGAGGUUCCCAGAAGAGACAAUUAAUUAAUUAAUUAAUUAAAUAAGAAAAGAUUUUUAAAGGCAUAUGAGAAAGUAUAUUUCACUUCUCAUUCAAUACAACACAGUCCAUUGAGAGGAACUGGUCACCUCAGGGAAUGAAGCUUUAUUUAGCACAAACAGGAGAGGUUUUCAAUUAGUAUGUCUAUUCUUUAAUAAUUUCAUCAUUCUUCCGAGAUUAUAAAAGCAGUACAUCCUAGGUAAAAAAAAUUGAGAAAAAAGAUCACCCACAAUAUUAUUACCUAGAGAUAAUAAGCUCUUAUUAGUAUUUGGCAUACAUACUUUCUUUUAAGAUUUCUAUAUACAGAGCUUUUGUCCAUAUUAAAGAAAAUUAGGGAGCUCCCAUUGUGGCUCAGUGGGUUAUGAACCCGACUAGCAUACAUGAGGAUGCAGGUUUGAUUCCUGGCCUUGCUCAGUGGGUUAAGGAUCUGGCAUUGCUGUGAGCUGUGCUGUAGGUCGAAUAUGAGGCUCAGAUCCUGCAUUGCUGUGGCUAGUGGCGUAGGCUGGCAGCUGCAGCUCUGAUUCAACACCCUAGCCUGGGAACUUCCAUAUGCCAAAGGUGUGUCCCUGAAAAGCAAAAAAAAAAAAAAAAAUCAUACAUUAAGCAUAUUCUCAUCCCAUUCUGUUUUUCUAAAUAUCAUUCCAUAUCAAUAAAUAUUGGCCUCUACCAUCCUGUUUAAAGAUUGCACAGUAUUUCACUAUAUGGAUAGGCCCUAAUGACUUAAUCAAUCCUUUAUUAAUAGGGGUUUAGGUUACUUUCCAUGUUUUGCUGUUGCAAAAAACAGGGCAAUGAGCAAUCUGGUACAUAUGACUGUUUCUUUAAGAUAAAUUCCUAGACGAUAGCUUGUCAUUUUAUAACUCUGGAUCCAUAUUGCCCCAAGUGUCACCCAUAAAAUACAUACCAAAUUUACCUUUUUCAAAAGAAGGAAACCCUUAAAUUUAAGAGUAAUAGCAUAUUUUACAUUUCUAAUAUUUAGAUUAAGCAACCAAAAACUUUAAAAAUUCAAUUUAUCUCUAAAAAUCUAAAAUAUCAAUUCAUGCCUCUGAUAUUGCAUUAGAAUUACAUUUGGAGGGGGGGAAUUCUAAAAUACCUAAUAAACCGGUUUUGUUUUCAGCAUUUAUUAAUUUGAAAACUUAAACUCUGAAAAGAAUAUACUUGCUAUAAAACAAGCAAAUUAGUAGGGAAAACUAAAAGGCAAGGAGAGAGGCAAAAAAUACACUAAUCAGUUAUAGCAGCCACCAGGUCACCAAAUCUGAAUCCUAUACAAGGGCUGAGAAAGAAGCAUCAAGAAAAAGAGAAAAGGUGACAACUAAAAGAAACAGCUUUCAGAGACUCAGUGAUGGCUGGAUUAAAUUACACACAGACAUAUACAUCUACAUGCUCUGUAUAGAACCAAUCCUGAAGCUAAUCUCUAGGGGUUAGAACACAAGAGGAACCUUUGUGUGCUUUAUUUAACCAAACAUCAUGUACAAGGGGAUGGGGGAGGCCAGAUACAGGGAAGAGUGUCUAGGUAGCAGCUUGAGGGCCUAGUAUCAACUACUUCCCCUCCUGGGCACCAGGAGGGUAACAGGAACUUGAGGCAUAAAGCAGCUCCAAAGGCACUUAUUCCCUUCAAAACCAACACAAAUGACAAGGCUCAAUCAUCAAGUUCUUUGGCAAACUGGGCAAGGUGAGACUAUUUUUACCAACAAAUAAUUUACUGGAGAGCACCAUGUUUGUGCCUAGGAGGGGAAGGCCACAUAUUAUAACUAAUCUACUGGAGUUUCAUCCUAAUGGGGAAGGCAGGGACAUUAGAUAAAGCAACCAUAACAAAAGCACUGAACAUUUAAGAUGGAAAAUGGCAGUGUGUAUAGGGGUAAGAGGAGGUACUGUUGCUUGCUAACACCACACACCUAUAGGACUUGGGGUCUAACAUUCUUCUAGGCAAGGGCUCAGUAAACUAUGGCCCUUGAAUGGGUCAAAUCCAAUUCUGACUUAUGCUAUGAGCCAUUACCUAUAUAUAACACUUUUAAAUGGUUGAAAAAUUCUUAAAACUGUUUCCCAGCAUACAAAAAUUUCAUGAAAUUCAAACAUCAGUGUCCACAAAGUUUUACUGAACACAGCCAUGCCCACUCCUGGUCAAUGGCUACCUUCUCCAUGCACUGAGUUGGGAGGCUCUAAAUGCUUCAUGCUUGUUAGUUUGGCCCUGACAUACCCAGAAUUUAGACAUAGCCUGCUAGCCUAACAGAGAAUGCAGCCCCAUUUUUAAGAACAGCAGGCAGGUCUAAUUGGUUCUAUGGAUGCUGGGGUACUAGCCAAAUAGUAACCAGAAAAAUGUGAAAGGUUUUUUGAGUUGAAAGUAGAAUGGUCUCAGAAGGUGUGUGUUGGGGUGAGUAGGAUUAAAGGUUUCUCUCUGAAAGAAUACAUGAGCUAUCUCCUUGGACAAGAGAAUGAAACCGUCCUCAAAAUGACUACUACCUUUAGGAGCUUAGCACUGAGCAAAGCCUUUUGCCUUUAUUAUCUCAUUUAAUCUCAAACCCAGGUUCAAGUCUAAGCCUGUGUUCCUAACCACUCCCUGACUUAAAAGCACAAGACAACAAUGUUCACCAGGACUAAAAGAGAGGAAAAGACCACAGGAACAGUGGAAGGUUAUUUUAUGGCCAUGAGCAUCAGAAGUGUUCUAUUCAUCUCUCUCCUCCCUCUCCCUCUUUCUCCUUAUAGUAACAUCAUUUCCUUUAAAGAAAGUAAAAUGCAACUUAUUUCUUCCAGGAACUUGCUUGUUGAGAAAAACUGAUGCAGGUACUCAAACAUGGAGACAUUUUAAAGAUGUCACCAUCAAAGUUAUAGAUCUAACUUCUACUAAAUGCAAUCAAUGUGUAAGGGUCUCCAAAAGAAGGGGGUGAGGAAACAUUUUUUGAGGCAAUGGUUUAGAAAGCACAUAUACAGUUUAAUUUAGAUUUUUCAUUUAAAGUACAAUGAGGAGUAACAGUUAAAUGAAUCUUACUCAAAGAAAGGGCUAUGAUGCUGGUAGGCAGCUGAAUCUUUCUUACUAGGAUCCAUGUUCUUUGCUUUGCCAACUAUACCACCAUUUUCCUUCAAGUUCUCCAAAAAGCCUACAAUUAUAAGAACCACUCAAUCCUAACUCAUUUUGUGAAAACCAGAUUUUUAAGAAGUUUCACUUGGUUGAUAUUUUCAUCAUACUUAUUUGCAGAUAACGUAUACCAUUAUUAUAUAACAUGUUUGUACAUAUUUACUUGGGUGUUUAUGAAUGGUUACCAACAUCUAGCUCCCAAGUUCUUCCUGUGCACCAAAUGAGGGGCUCAGAGUUUCAUACAGGGAACUUCCUGCAAGGCUCCCAACACUUCUACUAGGUAGGCUUUAUCUAGAUGAGGAACCUCAGGGUCAGGCAGGAUAAGUACAUACAGUGAAUGAGAACGAAAGAACCCAGAUUUGGACUUAAGCCUGUUUUGACUCAGAAACUGUGUUUUUCCCAUAGCAUUCUGCCAAGGCACCAACACAUUUCCUUAGACUAUCUCUCAGUCAAAUUUGCUGGAGAGCAGUAAGGGUGUGGAGUUGAAUAAACGAUUAGCUCUAAGAGUGGUUACUGGGCUAAAGCCUCUGCGUAUCGACAAUAAAUCCAUUUGAUCUAAUGUUUUUUGAUUUGUUUGGGUUUUUUCUGCUUUUUAGAGCUGCACCGAAGGCACAGAGAAGUACCCAUGCUAGACGUCCAACAGGGACUGCAGUUGCCAGCCUACACCACAGCCACUGCAAUGUGGAUCCGAGCUACAUCUGCAAUCUACACCACGGCUCACAGCAUUGCCAGAUUCUUACCCACUGGGUGAGGCCAGGGAUUGAACCUACGUCCUCAUGGAUACUAGUUGGGUUCAUUACUGCUGAGCAGAGAUGGGAACUC
This 3978-nucleotide long non-coding RNA is filed under the name Sus scrofa (pig). RNAcentral's name for it is "lncRNA (ENSSSCG00065016708.1)". The record is from RNAcentral. Lineage: Eukaryota; Metazoa; Chordata; Mammalia; Artiodactyla; Suidae.